GCUUCUUGAUCUUGUGGAGAGUCCAGACUAUAAACUGGAGACUCUGAGGUGGUGGUAAACAGGAGGAUGAGCUGUGUCCUGAUGAUCCAGAGGUUGACGCAGCAGCAGCAGCAGCUUGUGUGGACAGAGACUCUGACUGCAGAUAAAUGCUGAUGUUGAUGAAGAAGUGAGCAGCUCAGUCA
Molecule: long non-coding RNA, 182 nt
Organism: Mugil cephalus (flathead mullet)
Lineage: Eukaryota; Metazoa; Chordata; Actinopteri; Mugiliformes; Mugilidae
Exons: 2
Source: RefSeq, a predicted model, not a curated record